CAGGGAUUAUGGGGACUACAAUUCCAGAUGAGAUUUUGGGUGGGAACACAGCCAGACCAUAUCAAGGAGUUAAAGUGAGGCUUUUGCCUUUGGGUCACGUGUGGCACCUGGUUUCUUAUGGAAGUCAUUGCCCUCCGCAUUUGAAUGGGGCAGGGGAUAAAGCUAGGCUCCAAUCAUCUCUGUCCUUCGUCUCCCACUUUGGAAUCCUGUCUCCUUUCUUCUGUCAUAAAUAACCUUCUUACCUUAAUGCCCUGUGUUAGAGCUGCCCACCCGGAGUUAGAGCUUUACUGCUCCCCUUACUUUCCAUUUGGGGAUCUUAAGACGUGGAGUACAGCAGGGAGACUCGGAGAAGGAGCUGGUACACUUCAAAAGCAAGUGAACUAUUUCUCAAUAAGACUUGGAAUUCCAACUUCUGGUUAAUUGUAAAUAUGAUUUGGAGGAAGAAGUAGCACAUCAGGGAGCUAAGGUAAGAUGGGAAGCAGAGGAGUGAUAUACUCUAGCUCACAUUUUAAAGAUUUUUAAGAAUGGGGCAAGGGAACAAGAAAGAAGACCAGCUGGAGGCCCUUCCCUUGUAAUAGCCCAGGCAAGAGAUGGUGCUGGCAGUGUCUACGGUGGCAGCAGGGAAGGUACCAAGAAAUGGUUGGAUUUUAGACAGGAUUUGCUGAUGGACAGGUUAGAUGAGGGAUGCUUUUAGAGUUUGUGCAGUUGUGUCUUCCGGAUCAGAAUCACGUUAUUUUUGCAGUUUCCUCAUCUGCAAAAUGGGAAUGAUUUUGAGAAUCCAUCCUGAGAAAAGCCCUCAGCACCAUGCCUAGUACAUAGCAAGCAUUCAAUAAAUGUUAUUUAUUACUACCAAUUAGCUAAGUA
This 864-nucleotide long non-coding RNA is filed under the name Pan troglodytes (chimpanzee). RNAcentral's name for it is "long non-coding RNA NONPTRT017745". The record is from RNAcentral. Lineage: Eukaryota; Metazoa; Chordata; Mammalia; Primates; Hominidae.